Molecule: ribosomal RNA, 253 nt
Filed under: uncultured bacterium
Lineage: Bacteria
Also listed under: 1 other name
Description: partial 16S ribosomal RNA
Rfam family: Bacterial small subunit ribosomal RNA
Source: RNAcentral
GACGAGCCACACAAACGUUAUUCGGAAUCACUGGGCUUAAAGGGUGCGUAGGCUGCGCAGCAAGUUGGGUGUGAAAUCCUACAGCUUAACUGUAGAAGUGCACUCAAAACUGCUGUGCUCGAGGGAGACAGAGGUGAGCGGAACUGAGGGUGGAGCGGUGAAAUGCGUUGAUAUCCUCAGGAACACCGGUGGCGAAAGCGGCUCACUGGGUCUCUUCUGACGCUGAGGCACGAAAGCUAGGGUAGCGAACGGG